CCUACGGGAGGCUGCAGUGGGGAAUAUUGCACAAUGGGCGCAAGCCUGAUGCAGCCAUGCCGCGUGUGUGAAGAAGGCCUUCGGGUUGUAAAGCACUUUCAGCGGGGAGGAAGGCGGUGAGGUUAAUAACCUCAUCGAUUGACGUUACCCGCAGAAGAAGCACCGGCUAACUCCGUGCCAGCAGCCGCGGUAAUACGGAGGGUGCAAGCGUUAAUCGGAAUUACUGGGCGUAAAGCGCACACAGGCGGUCUGUCAAGUCGGAUGUGAAAUCCCCGGGCUCAACCUGGGGACUGCAUUCGAAACUGGCAGGCUAGAGUCUUGUAGAGGGGGGUAGAAUUCCAGGUGUAGCGGUGAAAUGCGUAGAGAUCUGGAGGAAUACCGGUGGCGAAGGCGGCCCCCUGGACAAAGACUGACGCUCAGGUGCGAAAGCGUGGGGAGCAAACAGGAUUAGAUACCCGGGUAGUC
Molecule: ribosomal RNA, 465 nt
Filed under: uncultured Klebsiella sp.
Lineage: Bacteria; Pseudomonadati; Pseudomonadota; Gammaproteobacteria; Enterobacterales; Enterobacteriaceae
Description: bacterial SSU rRNA
Rfam family: Bacterial small subunit ribosomal RNA
Source: RNAcentral